GGGACGCUAGCUCAUCCGGUUAGAGCAACUGCCUUUUAAGCAGUAGGUGUCGGGUCCGAGUCCCGAGCGUCUCA
This 74-nucleotide transfer RNA is filed under the name bacterium. RNAcentral describes it as "tRNA-Lys". It matches the Rfam family "tRNA". Rfam says of the family: Transfer RNA (tRNA) molecules are approximately 80 nucleotides in length. Their secondary structure includes four short double-helical elements and three loops (D, anti-codon, and T loops). Further hydrogen bonds mediate the characteristic L-shaped molecular structure. tRNAs have two regions of fundamental functional importance: the anti-codon, which is responsible for specific mRNA codon recognition, and the 3' end, to which the tRNAs corresponding amino acid is attached (by aminoacyl-tRNA synthetases). tRNAs cope with the degeneracy of the genetic code in two manners: having more than one tRNA (with a specific anti-codon) for a particular amino acid; and 'wobble' base-pairing, i.e. permitting non-standard base-pairing at the 3rd anti-codon position. The record is from RNAcentral.